RNAcentral lists this unclassified non-coding RNA (566 nucleotides) under Hevea brasiliensis (rubber tree). Lineage: Eukaryota; Viridiplantae; Streptophyta; Magnoliopsida; Malpighiales; Euphorbiaceae. The record is from RNAcentral.
GGAUGAGAGAAAAUUACCUGCACAGGUGCUGCUGUGGUCUGACCCUGUUUUCCAGCAGCUAAUGGUGUCAAAAUGAGAGGCUAAGGUUGGGUUCUUUUUAAUCUUUGCUUUAAAACAAAAAAAAAGAAAAAAAAGAAUAUAUUUGUUGCAUGCUUGAGGUGGUGCCUCCCAACGCCUGGCACCUCUCGCCUUUUGGCCCAAGGUGCUCACCUUUUCAAAUCCAGGGGCGCCUUAGUUAGGCAAGUCGCUACAAUGGCGCCUCGCCUCACCCUGCUUGGCGCCUUUCAGCCCCUUUAACAACACUAGCUGCGUGCCACACCCCACCCCCCCUCCCCUCCUUUUCUUCCCCACACACUCCCAAAUGAGACUCCUUUUGGGAUGGAAUCAGGUUUAGUCCAUUUUAUCAGCCAUAUCAAUACUUGGAACUGCCUAGAAGUUUUGUUUGACUAACUUUUUCUGUAGUGGUAUAGUAUGGACAUUUAUCAUUUCUCUGCUUGACAUUAAUUCAUUAAUUCAUUUUUGCCUUUUAUUUUCUUGUUUUAGGUUAUAGCAAAUGACCUUGAUGU